GCCCACUAGUUAGCUCACCUGGUUAAAGGGUGGUGCUGAUAAUACCAAGGCUGCAGGUUCGAUCCCUGUAUGGGACA
This is a non-coding RNA of Podarcis lilfordi (Lilford's wall lizard), 77 nucleotides long. NCBI's taxonomy places the organism in Eukaryota, Metazoa, Chordata, Lepidosauria, Squamata, Lacertidae. The record is from the annotation of a GenBank genome assembly.